Lemur catta (Ring-tailed lemur) is the source of this 543-nucleotide long non-coding RNA. RefSeq lists it as uncharacterized. The record is from RefSeq and is a predicted model, not a curated record. The transcript has 3 exons. Lineage: Eukaryota; Metazoa; Chordata; Mammalia; Primates; Lemuridae.
CGAGGCAGCAAGGUAGAACCUGGCAUAGAAGGUGGAUUAUCCAGAUUACCUGAGUGGGCCUGUGUACAUCACCAGGGCCUUAAAUGUGGAAGGCGCACAGAAGAGGAGAACCAAAGACAUGGCAGGGAGGACUUGGCCCAAGGUCGCUGGCGGCUUUGAAGAUGGAGGAAGAGGGCCUCGAGCCUGGAAUGUGGUUGGCCUCUAGACACUGGAAAAGGCAAGGAGACAGUCUCUCCCCUAGAGGAAUCCUGGGUGUAACCAGAAAACAUCAGCCAAUGUGAAUUCUUCUCAGCAGGGGCUGGAGUAAGGAAACAGCGCUGAUCACUUUUUCCUGAAAACCCAGUGGUAUCAACCAUUUGAUGGGGGUCAAGGAGCCAGAGUCUCGUUACUGAGGCGGUCAGCAACUGACCCAGAGAAAAGGUCGAUGGAAAACCUCCUAUCGCUCAUUCCCAGCGUCCUUCCUCCUGCCAGGCAUGUGACCUCACUGAGUCUUUCUUAGAAUCAUGGAGAAACAUUUAUUGAACACCCACUUGCAAGGGUGUG